AUUGAACGCUGGCGGCAUGCCUUACACAUGCAAGUCGAACGGCAGCACGGGUGCUUGCCCCUGGUGGCGAGUGGCGAACGGGUGAGUAAUACAUCGGAACAUGUCCUGUAGUGGGGGAUAGCCCGGCGAAAGCCGGAUUAAUACCGCAUACGAUCUACGGAUGAAAGCGGGGGACCUUCGGGCCUCGCGCUAUAGGGUUGGCCGAUGGCUGAUUAGCUAGUUGGUGGGGUAAAGGCCUACCAAGGCGACGAUCAGUAGCUGGUCUGAGAGGACGACCAGCCACACUGGGACUGAGACACGGCCCCGACUCCUACGGGAGGCAGCAGUGGGGAAUUUUGGACAAUGGGCGAAAGCCUGAUCCAGCAAUGCCGCGUGUGUGAAGAAGGCCUUCGGGUUGUAAAGCACUUUUGUCCGGAAAGAAAUCCUUGGCCCUAAUACGGUCGGGGGAUGACGGUACCGGAAGAAUAAGCACCGGCUAACUACGUG
This 486-nucleotide ribosomal RNA is filed under the name uncultured bacterium. RNAcentral describes it as "partial 16S ribosomal RNA". It matches the Rfam family "Bacterial small subunit ribosomal RNA", at positions 30 to 507 of the family's 1533-position model. The record is from RNAcentral.